UUUUAUGAGAGUUUGAUCCUGGCUCAGGACGAACGCUGGCGGCGUGCCUAAUACAUGCAAGUCGAACGCUUCUUUUUCCACCGGAGCUUGCUCCAUCGGAAAAAGAGGAGUGGCGAACGGGUGAGUAACACGUGGGUAACCUGCCCAUCAGAAGGGGAUAACACUUGGAAACAGGUGCUAAUACCGUAUAACAAUCGAAACCGCAUGGUUUUGAUUUGAAAGG
This 223-nucleotide ribosomal RNA is filed under the name Enterococcus hirae. RNAcentral describes it as "partial 16S ribosomal RNA". It matches the Rfam family "Bacterial small subunit ribosomal RNA", at positions 1 to 208 of the family's 1533-position model. The record is from RNAcentral. Lineage: Bacteria; Bacillati; Bacillota; Bacilli; Lactobacillales; Enterococcaceae.